RNAcentral lists this ribosomal RNA (2901 nucleotides) under Escherichia coli STEC_O31. RNAcentral's name for it is "bacterial LSU rRNA". It matches the Rfam family "Bacterial large subunit ribosomal RNA". Lineage: Bacteria; Pseudomonadati; Pseudomonadota; Gammaproteobacteria; Enterobacterales; Enterobacteriaceae. The record is from RNAcentral.
UUAAGCGACUAAGCGUACACGGUGGAUGCCCUGGCAGUCAGAGGCGAUGAAGGACGUGCUAAUCUGCGAUAAGCGUCGGUAAGGUGAUAUGAACCGUUAUAACCGGCGAUUUCCGAAUGGGGAAACCCAGUGUGUUUCGACACACUAUCAUUAACUGAAUCCAUAGGUUAAUGAGGCGAACCGGGGGAACUGAAACAUCUAAGUACCCCGAGGAAAAGAAAUCAACCGAGAUUCCCCCAGUAGCGGCGAGCGAACGGGGAGCAGCCCAGAGCCUGAAUCAGUGUGUGUGUUAGUGGAAGCGUCUGGAAAGGCGCGCGAUACAGGGUGACAGCCCCGUACACAAAAAUGCACAUGCUGUGAGCUCGAUGAGUAGGGCGGGACACGUGGUAUCCUGUCUGAAUAUGGGGGGACCAUCCUCCAAGGCUAAAUACUCCUGACUGACCGAUAGUGAACCAGUACCGUGAGGGAAAGGCGAAAAGAACCCCGGCGAGGGGAGUGAAAAAGAACCUGAAACCGUGUACGUACAAGCAGUGGGAGCACGCUUAGGCGUGUGACUGCGUACCUUUUGUAUAAUGGGUCAGCGACUUAUAUUCUGUAGCAAGGUUAACCGAAUAGGGGAGCCGAAGGGAAACCGAGUCUUAACUGGGCGUUAAGUUGCAGGGUAUAGACCCGAAACCCGGUGAUCUAGCCAUGGGCAGGUUGAAGGUUGGGUAACACUAACUGGAGGACCGAACCGACUAAUGUUGAAAAAUUAGCGGAUGACUUGUGGCUGGGGGUGAAAGGCCAAUCAAACCGGGAGAUAGCUGGUUCUCCCCGAAAGCUAUUUAGGUAGCGCCUCGUGAAUUCAUCUCCGGGGGUAGAGCACUGUUUCGGCAAGGGGGUCAUCCCGACUUACCAACCCGAUGCAAACUGCGAAUACCGGAGAAUGUUAUCACGGGAGACACACGGCGGGUGCUAACGUCCGUCGUGAAGAGGGAAACAACCCAGACCGCCAGCUAAGGUCCCAAAGUCAUGGUUAAGUGGGAAACGAUGUGGGAAGGCCCAGACAGCCAGGAUGUUGGCUUAGAAGCAGCCAUCAUUUAAAGAAAGCGUAAUAGCUCACUGGUCGAGUCGGCCUGCGCGGAAGAUGUAACGGGGCUAAACCAUGCACCGAAGCUGCGGCAGCGACGCUUAUGCGUUGUUGGGUAGGGGAGCGUUCUGUAAGCCUGUGAAGGUGUACUGUGAGGUAUGCUGGAGGUAUCAGAAGUGCGAAUGCUGACAUAAGUAACGAUAAAGCGGGUGAAAAGCCCGCUCGCCGGAAGACCAAGGGUUCCUGUCCAACGUUAAUCGGGGCAGGGUGAGUCGACCCCUAAGGCGAGGCCGAAAGGCGUAGUCGAUGGGAAACAGGUUAAUAUUCCUGUACUUGGUGUUACUGCGAAGGGGGGACGGAGAAGGCUAUGUUGGCCGGGCGACGGUUGUCCCGGUUUAAGCGUGUAGGCUGGUUUUCCAGGCAAAUCCGGAAAAUCAAGGCUGAGGCGUGAUGACGAGGCACUACGGUGCUGAAGCAACAAAUGCCCUGCUUCCAGGAAAAGCCUCUAAGCAUCAGGUAACAUCAAAUCGUACCCCAAACCGACACAGGUGGUCAGGUAGAGAAUACCAAGGCGCUUGAGAGAACUCGGGUGAAGGAACUAGGCAAAAUGGUGCCGUAACUUCGGGAGAAGGCACGCUGAUAUGUAGGUGAAGUGAUUUACUCAUGGAGCUGAAAUCAGUCGAAGAUACCAGCUGGCUGCAACUGUUUAUUAAAAACACAGCACUGUGCAAACACGAAAGUGGACGUAUACGGUGUGACGCCUGCCCGGUGCCGGAAGGUUAAUUGAUGGGGUCAGCGCAAGCGAAGCUCUUGAUCGAAGCCCCGGUAAACGGCGGCCGUAACUAUAACGGUCCUAAGGUAGCGAAAUUCCUUGUCGGGUAAGUUCCGACCUGCACGAAUGGCGUAAUGAUGGCCAGGCUGUCUCCACCCGAGACUCAGUGAAAUUGAACUCGCUGUGAAGAUGCAGUGUACCCGCGGCAAGACGGAAAGACCCCGUGAACCUUUACUAUAGCUUGACACUGAACAUUGAGCCUUGAUGUGUAGGAUAGGUGGGAGGCUUUGAAGUGUGGACGCCAGUCUGCAUGGAGCCGACCUUGAAAUACCACCCUUUAAUGUUUGAUGUUCUAACGUGGACCCGUAAUCCGGGUUGCGGACAGUGUCUGGUGGGUAGUUUGACUGGGGCGGUCUCCUCCUAAAGAGUAACGGAGGAGCACGAAGGUUGGCUAAUCCUGGUCGGACAUCAGGAGGUUAGUGCAAUGGCAUAAGCCAGCUUGACUGCGAGCGUGACGGCGCGAGCAGGUGCGAAAGCAGGUCAUAGUGAUCCGGUGGUUCUGAAUGGAAGGGCCAUCGCUCAACGGAUAAAAGGUACUCCGGGGAUAACAGGCUGAUACCGCCCAAGAGUUCAUAUCGACGGCGGUGUUUGGCACCUCGAUGUCGGCUCAUCACAUCCUGGGGCUGAAGUAGGUCCCAAGGGUAUGGCUGUUCGCCAUUUAAAGUGGUACGCGAGCUGGGUUUAGAACGUCGUGAGACAGUUCGGUCCCUAUCUGCCGUGGGCGCUGGAGAACUGAGGGGGCUGCUCCUAGUACGAGAGGACCGGAGUGGACGCAUCACUGGUGUUCGGGUUGUCAUGCCAAUGGCACUGCCCGGUAGCUAAAUGCGGAAGAGAUAAGUGCUGAAAGCAUCUAAGCACGAAACUUGCCCCGAGAUGAGUUCUCCCUGACCCUUUAAGGGUCCUGAAGGAACGUUGAAGACGACGACGUUGAUAGGCCGGGUGUGUAAGCGCAGCGAUGCGUUGAGCUAACCGGUACUAAUGAACCGUGAGGCUUAACCUU